CGGGCGACCGGCGCACGGGUGAGUAACCGCGUAUGCAACUUACCUAUCAGGAGGGGGAUAACCCGGCGAAAGUCGGACUAAUACCGCAUGAAGCAGGGGCCCCGCAUGGGGAUAUUUGCUAAAGAUUCAUCGCUGAUAGAUAGGCAUGCGUUCCAUUAGGCAGUUGGCGGGGUAACGGCCCACCAAACCGACGAUGGAUAGGGGUUCUGAGAGGAAGGUCCCCCACAUUGGUACUGAGACACGGACCAAACUCCUACGGAAGGCAGCAG
Molecule: ribosomal RNA, 269 nt
Filed under: uncultured bacterium
Lineage: Bacteria
Description: partial 16S ribosomal RNA
Rfam family: Bacterial small subunit ribosomal RNA
Source: RNAcentral